CUUUUUAUUAAUUGUGAGGUCCAUAUAGCCAUUUCAAGCGAUUUGAUAACGGUUGAAAAAUCACUAUCCUGUGAUAGCGACGAUACCCUAGCUAAUACUGGGCACGGAUAAGCUCCCUGUUCUGGGAAUUGUUUUUUAAAAACCUUGUUAAAAUAAUUGUUUAAAAAGCCAUUUCUUGGCGCGAAACUCAUGCAUGUCUCAUGCCAAAUUUCUAAAGAACAGCAAAACACAGUUCUAUCGGUGACAUUUACAGAUAGUGGCGUAAAAGUGAGGCCAAACACGUGAUUCGAGCUGAAUGUGUGAAAGUUGGAAACUGUAUAGUGUCAUAUAGAUGUCAUACGCUACCUGAGUUGACUAAAAGUACCAAUCCAAAUGUAGAAUCUGACUCAUCAACUGUAUUAGUAAGACGAUAGAUUGUCAUGGCAAUAACACCAAGUGUACUCAGAGUUGCCAAUAUGAGGAAGGCAAUUUCAAUCUUUUCCAAAUCUGAAGGGACUCUUAGCU
This is a non-coding RNA of Paramuricea clavata, 504 nucleotides long. NCBI's taxonomy places the organism in Eukaryota, Metazoa, Cnidaria, Anthozoa, Malacalcyonacea, Plexauridae. The record is from the annotation of a GenBank genome assembly.